This 1450-nucleotide long non-coding RNA is filed under the name Sus scrofa (pig). RNAcentral describes it as "lncRNA (ENSSSCG00055028661.1)". The record is from RNAcentral. Lineage: Eukaryota; Metazoa; Chordata; Mammalia; Artiodactyla; Suidae.
UUUUUUUUUUUUUUUUUUUUUUUUUCCUUUUUAGGACCCCACCUUCAGCUUUUGGAAGUUCCCAGGCUAGGGAUCUAAUCGGAGCUGUUGACCUACACCACAGUCACAGCAACGCCAGAUCCUUAACCCACCAAGCGAGGCCAGGGAUCGAACCCGCAACCUCAUGGAUACUAAUCAGGUUCAUUACCACUGUGCCACCACAGGAACUCCUUCCUAUGUCAUUUCUAAUCCAACACAAUUUCAUCAACAAAAAUACUUAUGAUUGCAGGAAGACCAAAAGAAAUAUCCAAGAGAGAAGGACUCUGUGCUACCCUGACUCCCACCGGCCUGGAGGGGUGACCGUUAGCCACACCCACCUUGCCAAGUGAUGUCUCCCAGACUUUCUCCCCCCAUCCCGCUGCCUCCCUCCAUCAGUACCACCCCACCCCCCAAGCCGUUGGGGAGCCGCCUCUGACCUCUCCUGACCUCCACUCCAUCACCAUUUGGUCUCCAGCCUUUUGCCUGGUUACUCCCUAGAGUUUCCAAACCUCUCGCCCUCUCCACGGCCACAGCCAUCAGUUCUGCCCAAACGAUGGCAGCAAAUGCCUGAGGUCGCUCUCCCAAUUCAGGACCCAGCAAAAAUGGUAUCUGUCUGAGCAUCUUCCAGGGGCUGCCUGGGUGGAACCAGCUCUGCGCAUCGCUCCCUCUCUAUCUUCCCUCCCUGACCAGACGGUGGACCUUGCCGGGGGACGGGUGGGGGGGUGUCCUGGUAACUGGCUGGGGACCUGGGACAUCCCAGGCAUUUCAUGCUCCACACGUGGAUUCUCUGCUCUGCGGAGCUGUGUUCAGCUCUUGCUCUGCACACACACGUGGCAAAGCCCCGUUCGGUGAUGUGGCCACGGAAGGCUUUGCCUUCAGGGGCAGGAAGCGCCUCUCUUUUCUCUUUCUGUCAAGUUAGGCUCCUCUAUGACCGGGUUUAACAUAACUGCGGUCUGAAAAUCCCCUUUCUCCUCCGCUCCUCUUUCAUCUGCAGGCUGGCGACUGAUAACUCUUCCUCGCUGUCUCGGCUGCUCAGCUUCUUCCUCAGACACUGGAGAUAAGGAGACUGUUGGAGCACCUCAGAGAUGCCAUCUCUUGCCCUCACCCUCUGCCUCCCAGAAGACGGUAUAUGGUUUGCAAUGGGCCCUCUUUCUUAAAAGUCCAAGCCCUGAAGUUCCUUGGGAGCUUAGCCAUUAAGGAUCCAAUGUUGCCACUACUGUGGCUCAGGUCACUGCCAGGGCUUGGGUUCAAUUCCUGGCCAAGGAGCUUCCACAUGCCAUGGGUGAGACCAAAACAAGGAGUUCCCCUUGUGGCUUAGGGGGUUAAGGAUGCGAGUUUGAUUCCUGGUCUGGUUUAGUGGGUUAAGGAUCCAGUGUUGCCACAAGCUGCAGAGUAGGUAUGGAUUCAGCUAGGAUCCAGUGUUGCCAUGACU